GGACUACUAGGGUUUCUAAUCCCGUUCGCUCCCCAUGCUGUCGUGUCUGAGCGUCAGUUGUGAGCCAGGACGCCGCCUUCGCCUCUGGGGUUCCUCCGGAUCUCUACGCAUUUCACCACUACACCCGGAAUUCCACGUCCCUCUCUCACACUCUAGAUAGACAGUCUGGCAUAACAUAUCCCGGUUAAGCCGAAACCUUUCAUACACCACUUGUCCAUCCGCCUGCACACGCUUUACGCCCAGUAAAUCCGGAUAACGCUCGCCACCUACGUUUUACCGCGGCGGCUGGCAC
This 292-nucleotide ribosomal RNA is filed under the name uncultured bacterium. RNAcentral describes it as "partial 16S ribosomal RNA". The record is from RNAcentral.